AACAAGGCGUACCUGCGGACCUGCGGAAGGAUCAUUACCGAGUGUGAACCCCCCCGUAAAAAAGAGGGGUUACCUCCCGUCCUUUGCUGGGAACCCCUUUCCAACUUGGAAGGAGGUUGUUUUCAGACCCUUCUGCUUCGGUGGGGUAACCCACCGGAACAACCUCAAAAAUAUUCUCAAUUCAAAACCGUUCAGUCCGAGAACUUUUUUGAAAAGCGAAAAAACUUUUAACAACGGAUC
Molecule: unclassified non-coding RNA, 240 nt
Filed under: soil metagenome
Description: partial contains 5.8S ribosomal RNA, internal transcribed spacer 2, and large subunit ribosomal RNA
Source: RNAcentral